AUGGCCGUACCAUGCUGAAUAUACCGGUUCUCGUUAGAUCACCGAAGUUAAGCAUCAUUGGGCGCGGUCAGUAUUUGGGUGGGUGACCACCUGGAAACACUGCGUGCCGUU
Molecule: ribosomal RNA, 111 nt
Filed under: Caerostris darwini
Lineage: Eukaryota; Metazoa; Arthropoda; Arachnida; Araneae; Araneidae
Source: RNAcentral